GUGGGGAAUUUUGGACAAUAGGCGCAAGCCUGAUCCAGCCAUGCCGCGUGCAGGAUGAAGGCCUUCGGGUUGUAAACUGCUUUUGUACGGAACGAAAAGACUUCUUCUAAUACAGGAGGUCCAUGACGGUACCGUAAGAAUAAGCACCGGCUAACUACGUGCCAGCAGCCGCGGUAAUACGUAGGGUGCAAGCGUUAAUCGGAAUUACUGGGCGUAAAGCGUGCGCAGACGGUUAUAUAAGACAGAUGUGAAAUCCCCGGGCUCAACCUGGGAACUGCAUUUGUGACUGUAUAGCUAGAGUACGGUAGAGGGGGAUGUAAUUCCGCGUGUAGCAGUGAAAUGCGUAGAUAUGCGGAGGAACACCGAUGGCGAAGGCAAUCCCCUGGACCUGUACUGACGCUCAUGCACGAAAGCGUGGGGAGCAAACAGGAUUAGAAACCCUAGUAGUCC
RNAcentral lists this ribosomal RNA (450 nucleotides) under uncultured bacterium. RNAcentral describes it as "partial 16S ribosomal RNA". It matches the Rfam family "Bacterial small subunit ribosomal RNA", at positions 354 to 796 of the family's 1533-position model. The record is from RNAcentral.